This 486-nucleotide ribosomal RNA is filed under the name uncultured bacterium. RNAcentral describes it as "partial 16S ribosomal RNA". It matches the Rfam family "Bacterial small subunit ribosomal RNA", at positions 30 to 507 of the family's 1533-position model. The record is from RNAcentral.
AUUGAACGCUGGCGGCAUGCCUUACACAUGCAAGUCGAACGGCAGCACGGGUGCUUGCACCUGGUGGCGAGUGGCGAACGGGUGAGUAAUACAUCGGAACAUGUCCUGUAGUGGGGGAUAGCCCGGCGAAAGCCGGAUUAAUACCGCAUACGAUCUACGGAUGAAAGCGGGGGACCUUCGGGCCUCGCGCUAUAGGGUUGGCCGAUGGCUGAUUAGCUAGUUGGUGGGGUAAAGGCCUACCAAGGCGACGAUCAGUAGCUGGUCUGAGAGGACGACCAGCCACACUGGGACUGAGACACGGCCCAGACUCCCACGGGAGGCAGCAGUGGGGAAUUUUGGACAAUGGGCGAAAGCCUGAUCCAGCAAUGCCGCGUGUGUGAAGAAGGCCUUCGGGUUGUAAAGCACUUUUGUCCGGAAAGAAAUCCUUGGCUCUAAUACAGUCGGGGGAUGACGGUACCGGAAGAAUAAGCACCGGCUAACUACGUG